This is a small nucleolar RNA of Larimichthys crocea (large yellow croaker), 71 nucleotides long. The record is from Ensembl. Lineage: Eukaryota; Metazoa; Chordata; Actinopteri; Sciaenidae.
GCGAUGAUGAAUCUGUGGUUUUGAUCAGCGAUGAAACCAAACGACCGAUUCCUCUAAGAAGUUCUGAGCUC